AUUCUACUUGCCAACCGAACAAUAAUUGCGGAAGAAGUACACUUCGUUCCGUAGCACUCGAUUCAUCCAAUCGGUCUAGUGGUUACUAUUGCGACGCCAUUACUGGAGAGCACAGGGUCCACUCUGAGAAUUUAAUCGGUUUUACGGGUCCUGACGGUGAGAAGGGGAAACAUAUAAUGGCGUUUCUUCCAUACUUAUCCUGGUUUGUUUGUGGUUGGGCUCGUCCUUCUCCGGCCGAUGGCGUCUUUCACUGUGGAGGAGUUUGUGGGCAAUGGGGUUCUAAGGGAGAUACUCCCCAAGCUUGUUGAAGAUGGCUGGGAUGAUGUACCCACUCUCAAGCUGAUGAACUUGGAGGACAUGCACGCUAUCAACAUGACUACCAGGCAGAAAGAUGCUUUGGAAAUCAGAUCAUAUUUACACGACCGUUCAUUGAUGCAAUACGGAGAUACAUUGGAAGCAUCUGGGAAAUCUUUACCUGAACUUCUUAACUGUAGUGCCAGUGUUCUUUCUUCGCAAUUUGGUAUGAAAAGAGGCCAUAUUGCUCGGUUCACUGACAGAACCACCGCCUGUGGAAUCUCGACGCAACCUCCCUACAGAAGACGAUCUCUUUCUUCGACAAGCACCAAUUGGAAUGGCAGUGAGUUGAGGUAUACUGCAUCCCAAAAGAUUCAGACAUCUUCACUCUUAAGUCGUAGAACAAACUCGAUUGCUAGUGAAAAAUCUAUAGCGGAACUGAGAAUCAAAGAAGGGCAUUCUUUCAAGGGUAUUGUUGCGUCGGCAGUUGCUGAGCCAAGGCCCGAUGAUCCAGUGAAACCUCCUCAUAUGACUCAGGAUGUUGUCCCUUAUUCCACGAUUGAAAACAUCACAGUUCAGAAACUGGUACCAGAAUAUAAGAUUGGUAUGGAGCCACUAGUGAAACUGAAACCCAUGACCAUGAAAUCUUCUGAUUUAUGGCAUGAAAGGCCAGUUGUAUUGCUGUGUCUUCGGCGGCCUGGGUGCAUCAUGUGCCGAGCUCAAGCUCACCAAUUCUAUUCAAGGAAACCCGUCUUUGAUGCUAUGGGAGUUCAGCUGAUUGCGGUUCUUCAUCAACAAAUAGAGUCAGAGGUGAAAGAUUUCUGGCCUCGAUACUGGGGAGGAGCUGUGAUUCUGGAUAGCAACAUGGGGUUCUUCAAGGCUCUUGGUGGAGGGAAGGUGAUAAGGCACAAUUUCGUGACGGGAUUCCUUCUGAACCCACAGGCAAUUGCAAAUUACUGGCGGGCUAAAGCAACGGGUCUCGACUCCAAUGUGAACGGUGAUGGAAAUGUCAACGGUGGGCUUUUCGUGGUUGCUAGUGGGAAAAGUGGUGUGGCCUACCAGUUUGUGGAGAGGAAUUUUGGUGAUUGGGCUCCCAUUGCUGAAGUUAUUGAGAUAUGUAGCCGGUUACAGCUUGUCUGCAGUUAGAGCUCUUGCUUUUGAUUAGACAAACACUGUUAGGACCGGUUACUGGAAGGUUUUAGCAAGCUUGUGUCGAAGAAAUAGAAACAAUCGUGUGCUGCCAUAGCAAAAAGAAGUAGUCAUCUGAGCCAUUGAAGUGACUGACAACCUGAGCUGCUUACUGUACAGCUUUUUGAGCUUCCUCAGAUCCUUGUCUUUCAUUCAUUUGAUCAAUUGUUAAGACUAAAUAAUUAUGUAGAAUAAAUUUUCUGUAGAAAGGAAAACUUUUACGAUUA
Molecule: RNA transcript, 1709 nt
Organism: Nymphaea colorata (pocket water lily)
Lineage: Eukaryota; Viridiplantae; Streptophyta; Magnoliopsida; Nymphaeales; Nymphaeaceae
Exons: 7
Source: RefSeq, a predicted model, not a curated record